This 449-nucleotide ribosomal RNA is filed under the name uncultured bacterium. RNAcentral describes it as "bacterial SSU rRNA". It matches the Rfam family "Bacterial small subunit ribosomal RNA", at positions 330 to 793 of the family's 1533-position model. The record is from RNAcentral.
ACCAGACUCCUACGGGAGGCAGCAGUGGGGAAUAUUGCACAAUGGGCGAAAGCCUGAUGCAGCAACGCCGCGUGAAGGAAGAAGGGUUUCGGCUCGUAAACUUCUAUCAACAGGGACGAAAGAAAUGACGGUACCUGAAUAAGAAGCCCCGGCUAACUACGUGCCAGCAGCCGCGGUAAUACGUAGGUGGCAAGCGUUGUCCGGAUUUACUGGGUGUAAAGGGCGUGUAGCCGGGUUGACAAGUCAGAUGUGAAAUCCUGCGGCUUAACCGCAGAACUGCAUUUGAAACUGUUGAUCUUGAGUACUGGAGAGGCAGACGGAAUUCCUAGUGUAGCGGUGAAAUGCGUAGAUAUUAGGAGGAACACCAGUGGCGAAGGCGACUUUCUGGACGAUAACUGACGUUGAGGCACGAAAGUGUGGGGAGCAAACAGGAUUAGAUACCCCGGUAA